Molecule: long non-coding RNA, 691 nt
Organism: Suricata suricatta (meerkat)
Lineage: Eukaryota; Metazoa; Chordata; Mammalia; Carnivora; Herpestidae
Exons: 4
Source: RefSeq, a predicted model, not a curated record
ACGGCCGCCCAGCACCGCCCAGCCAGAGUGGGGAGGGUGCAAGGUUCGGUUCAGCGGCCAGAGAAGGACCCGGGCCCCGGGAAGACAGCCACGGGCUGGCAGACUGUUGAGACACUCAGGCAUCCAGAGACCUGCUGGGGACGUGGAGGCUCGCUCAGACCCUGUUGUAACAUCCUGAGAGGUGACCCGCACCCUGUCAGGGCAAGUGAGCGUCUCGGACCGGAACCAGAGAGGGUCAGUCGCUUCAUAGGAGUAUUAAGCAAACCAACAGUCAAAAAGGUCACUCUAUAGAAAUGGCAGCGAUGGUGAUCAGUGGCCCUGGUGGAACGUGGAGGUGACGCUAACACCUUCACGGCUACGGAUUUUCCUUAGCAGAGCUGUGGAGUGUGACAAUGGUGUUUGUGUCCAAACUAUCAAACGCCAUUAUCACACUAAAUAGCUACUGUUAGGCAAUCCUUCCGCUCAAUAAAUGCCUUGGCAUCUGUUUGGUAUGAGCAAGAAGGCCCGUCUCCUAGUGGUGUGUGUGCCCAGGCCAGAAGCACUGAGUAAAUUCAGACUCAUUUGUGCUCAUAACCGAUAUGUCAUCCGAACUUUGCCGCUCACAUGCUGUUGUUCAAUACUUGAGCUGAUGGUGAGUUCUCUUGUUUUCCGGAGUCAAUAAACAAUAUGGUGGUGUUCCCAGAACCCCCAG